RNAcentral lists this ribosomal RNA (233 nucleotides) under uncultured bacterium. RNAcentral describes it as "partial 16S ribosomal RNA". It matches the Rfam family "Bacterial small subunit ribosomal RNA", at positions 123 to 354 of the family's 1533-position model. The record is from RNAcentral.
AACCUGCCUUGGAGUGGGGAAGUAACAGCUGGAAACAGCUGCUAAUACCGCAUAAUAUAUCUGGGCCGCAUGGCUCUGGAUAUCAAAGAUUUAUCGCUCUGAGAUGGACUCGCGUCUGAUUAGCUGGUUGGCGGGGUAACGGCCCACCAAGGCGACGAUCAGUAGCCGGACUGAGAGGUUGGCCGGCCACAUUGGGACUGAGACACGGCCCAGACUCCUACGGGAGGCAGCAG